CAGUUGACAGUCAUAACACCAAAUUCCAUACGAAACUAUUUUCUAAUUUUAGAAACUAAAUCAAUUUAGGGUUCUUCUUCCUCUUUCUAUCCGACUCAAAUCUUCUUUUGAAAAUUCCUUACGGAAAAAGAGGAGAUAGAGAAGAAGAAUGGAGGUAAUCAGUUAUGUGAGACAAUGGGGAGGCGUGGGAUUUAUCAGAAGAAAAGCCCUCAGAAAUUGAAGGAAGAAGCUUAUAAUUUCAGUGUUUUCUGCUGAGGAUGGCUGUUGCUAUGCUUGUCAAGAGACAUGCUGAUGGAUUGCUACCUACUGAUGACUACAACAUUGAGCUUGAGGAUCAAAUAGGGCAGAAGCUUAAUAUGGGUUCUGACAGAUCAAAGGGAAGCAGCUAAUGAGAGCACAGCAAUACAAAGAGGCAUUAGAGGCGCUUGAAAUGGGAGAGAAAGCCUUUUCUCUCUGUGACUCUAAACUCAUAGAGUUUAAUAUGUGCAUGCUUAUUCAAUGGUUUAUAUUCACAGUGUAUUGACAUUGUUCCAAUCCUUCAAAUUGACAUGGUGUGGACGUGUGUGCUAUUUUAUGCUUCGGGACAUCAACUUGCUCACGUUGGCUGGUGAGCAUAUUGCAAAAGCUAGAGUAGGUAUUGAGCAUAUUGCAAAAGCUAGAGUAGGUAUUGAGCAUAUUGCAAAAGCUAGAGUAGGUAUUGAGAUCUUCAGAGUAGUCGUAGCCCAAAGACUGCAUUGUAGGUUACAUCCUUCUGUUUUCAUAUUUUGUAGUUUGUCUGGAGAUGGGAAAGAAUGACUGCUGCAUAAUUCUAUUUUUGUUUGGUUCCUCCUAGAUAUUUGAGGUUAGAUCUCUUGAAAGGUGUGGCAGCUUUUCACUGUGGCAAAUUGGAUGAAUCCAGAGAAGCUUUGACAUCUGCCAAGGCAAGAUAUAUUGCAAGGUAUGGAACAAUCAGUUCUAUAUUGUGUUCUUUAAGAUUAUCAUGAGUGGCUCACCUCCUUUAAGAGAGGGAUUUUAAAGUGAUGUUCAAGUGGUCAUUGCUGCCAGAAAAGUGAGCAUUCCUCUCUUUAUAUCCAUCAUGGUUUCUCCAGGUUUAUAUUCAAAAUAUGUAUCAUUUAAACUCCAAGUUUACAACAUAAUUGGUGAGUCCUUGUGAUAAGUAUUACAGAAAUGGUAAAUAAUUAAGCUAAAACUCGUAACAGCCUUCUAAUUUCUAGCUUUUAGAAUGUGAAUAAUCUCCAUCAUGGUUUCUCUAGGAUGUCAUUCAGUAAUAUAUAUAAAGUUCCAAGUCUACAACAUAAUUGGCUAGUCCUUGUGAUAAUCGUUACAAUAUUGUAGGCGUUGGUUUGGAUAAUCAAGCUAAAACAUAAAAAUUUGAGAAACAUGAGCUUGAGCUCGCUUUCUAAUCCCCAGACCCCAGCUCUUAGAAUAUAAUGCAGACACCUAAUAACUUUUUAAAUUUAAUCUCGGUAUUGGAGAUUGGUAUGAGUAACGCGUUUGCUCUUAGUUAUAGUCUGCGGGGAAUGCUCUUAGUUACAAUCUUGGUAUUGGAGAUUGGUAUGAGUAACGCGUUUUUCUUAGUUACAGUCUGCAGGAAAAGCUCUUAGUUACAAUCUUGGCAUUGGAGAUUGGUAUGAGUAACGCGUUUGCUCUUAGUUACAGUCUGCGGGAAAUGGGGCCUUUCAAGCAGGAAAGCAUACAGAAGCAGUUGAACAUUAAACUGCAGUUUUGUCAUUUAAUGUUGAGUCCUGUCCUUUUAGUGCAGUAUGUUUUUGCUGAUCGAGCUGCAACUUACCCAACAUUGGGGAUGUUCACUGAUGCAAUUGCAGAAUGCAGUUCAGCAAUAGCUUUGUAUGAACAAUACUUUGAAGGCAAUAUCUACAAGAGCCAUCUUUUUGAGAUGAUUAGAGACUAUGAGCAGGAAGUGAAAGAUCUUGAGAGACUUGUGUCUCUUGUAAGUCCACUCAACUAGGAGCAUAUUUGCCAUUGGGCCUGUAGCUGAUCUAAGACAAGCUCGACAAUGGCUCUAUCAGUUGGAGGAACAGGCUAAAAAGGAAUACCUUUAAAGUUGUACCUCAUCUUGGAGUAGAGCCAUCUGUUACAGCAAUAAAUCUGAAGAAAGCUUAUUGUAAAAUGUAAUCCUGCUCUGAGGCAUCAUCCUGAUAAGCCUGGUCGAUCAGUCAUUGCAAGAGCCGAAAGCGGAGAUGAUGUCCUCUGGAAGGAAUAAGCGGAGGGGGACUACAAGGAUGCUGAAGUGAUAAGCUUUUCAAGAUGAUUGGCGAGGCAUAUGCAGUUUUUUCACACCCGGAUCAAUUUAUGAUAUGUUAUCUCAAGCUGAUACUAAGAUCUAUAUUAGCAUUUUCACUUGUCAGCUGAUACUGAAAAUGAUAUUGCUUUUAUUAUUACCAGUUUUUGGUGUGUGUUUGUUUUGGGAA
Long non-coding RNA from Chenopodium quinoa (quinoa), 2432 nucleotides. RefSeq lists it as uncharacterized. The transcript has 9 exons. NCBI's taxonomy places the organism in Eukaryota, Viridiplantae, Streptophyta, Magnoliopsida, Caryophyllales, Amaranthaceae. The record is from RefSeq and is a predicted model, not a curated record.